AAGGUCUUCGGAUCGUAAAGCUCUUUCGACCGGGACNAAACUGGCGAGGUGAACAGNCUCGUCCUUGACGGUACCGGGAGAAGAAGCACCGGCUAACUCUGUGCCAGCAGCCGCGGUAAUACAGAGGGUGCAAGCGUUGUUCGGAAUUAUUGGGCGUAAAGCGCGUGUAGGCGGUGGCGUAUGUCGGGUGUGAAAGCCCUCGGCUUAACCGAGGAAGUGCGCCCGAAACUACGUCGCUAGAGUGCCGGAGAGGGUGGCGGAAUUCCGGGUGUAGAGGUGAAAUUCGUAGAUAUCCGGAGGAACACCAGUGGCGAAGGCGGCCACCUGGGCGGACACUGACGCUGAGACGCGAAAGCGUGGGUAGCAAACAGGAUUAGAUACCCUGGUAGUCCACGCCGUAAACGAUGGGAACUAGGUGUGGCGGGAGUUGACCCCUGCCGUGCCGCAGCUAACGCAUUAAGUUCC
Molecule: ribosomal RNA, 465 nt
Filed under: uncultured bacterium
Lineage: Bacteria
Description: bacterial SSU rRNA
Rfam family: Bacterial small subunit ribosomal RNA
Source: RNAcentral